GACGAACGCUGGCGGCGUGCCUAAUACAUGCAAGUCGAGCGAAUCAAUAGGAGCUUGCUCCUGUUGGUUAGCGGCGGACGGGUGAGUAACACGUGGGCAACCUGCCUGUAAGACUGGGAUAACACCGGGAAACCGGUGCUAAUACCGGAUAAUCCUUUUCCUCUCAUGAGGAAAAGCUGAAAGACGGUUUCGGCUGUCACUUACAGAUGGGCCCGCGGCGCAUUAGCUAGUUGGUGAGGUAACGGCUCACCAAGGCGACGAUGCGUAGCCGACCUGAGAGGGUGAUCGGCCACACUGGGACUGAGACACGGCCCAGACUCCUACGGGAGGCAGCAGUAGGGAAUCUUCCACAAUGGACGAAAGUCUGAUGGAGCAACGCCGCGUGAGCGAUGAAGGCCUUCGGGUCGUAAAGCUCUGUUGUUAGGGAAGAACAAGUACCGGAGUAACUGCCGGUACCUUGACGGUACCUAACCAGAAAGCCACGGCUAACUACGUGCCAGCAGCCGCCGUAA
RNAcentral lists this ribosomal RNA (512 nucleotides) under uncultured bacterium. RNAcentral describes it as "partial 16S ribosomal RNA". It matches the Rfam family "Bacterial small subunit ribosomal RNA", at positions 28 to 523 of the family's 1533-position model. The record is from RNAcentral.